AUGGCCACCAUCCGUCGUCGAUGAAAACAAAGUAUGUCUGGAAAGAGCUGAGUCGGAUAAAAAAUGCCGACUUGCAGGACACCAACGAGUUGGAACUCUCCCGGGAAGCCAUGACCCCGAUUGUGGCCAAUGGCGAAGGUGAAAGAGCAGCUGGAUGCCUCACAGAUGACGAUGCGAUCGACCAUCUUCUCUGCACCGUGCUAAAGAGCACCAAGUUGUGUUCACAUCGGCGCCGCAGCCACGGCCUCAUGUGGCGGACGACUUCCACGCCAUAGAGGGCGUGCCAGCAGUGCAGUUUAAGGAGCUCUAACGGCAAAGGUGAACAAGCUGCUGACGUGGGGGGCCGCGUUCACAGUGUUUGCGCAGUCGUUCAACCGCCCAGCCAUCCGUCUGGCCGGCUACCUGAUGUGUGCCGUGAUCCUGAAGACCGAUGUGUCGCCGCCCCCAAAGCAGUGGGCGGCGAUGACCGGCUGCGUUUAGGAGUGCACGGGGAGGGACAUGAGGCAGCACUUUAGGGACUUUCUGUCUCUUUUUGUGUUUGUGUUUCUGCCGGGUAGUUUUGCAAAGAAAUGGCGUUAACGCUUUUUCAUGCGUGUAGGCCAAGUUCAUGUCUGGAAGGGCAUGAGCGUCGUGCUGUGUUCAUCACCCUUGUUCAUAUGAUCAAUG
This 666-nucleotide long non-coding RNA is filed under the name Amphibalanus amphitrite. Its description in RNAcentral is "uncharacterized LOC122387390, transcript variant X2". The record is from RNAcentral. Lineage: Eukaryota; Metazoa; Arthropoda; Thecostraca; Balanomorpha; Balanidae.